GCGGUUGUGGCGGAAUUGGCAGACGCGCACGGUUGAGGGCCGUGUGCCGCAAGGCGUAUGGGUUCAAGUCCCAUCAACCGCACCA
RNAcentral lists this transfer RNA (85 nucleotides) under Eubacteriales Family XIII. Incertae Sedis bacterium. RNAcentral describes it as "tRNA-Leu". It matches the Rfam family "tRNA". From Rfam's summary of the family: Transfer RNA (tRNA) molecules are approximately 80 nucleotides in length. Their secondary structure includes four short double-helical elements and three loops (D, anti-codon, and T loops). Further hydrogen bonds mediate the characteristic L-shaped molecular structure. tRNAs have two regions of fundamental functional importance: the anti-codon, which is responsible for specific mRNA codon recognition, and the 3' end, to which the tRNAs corresponding amino acid is attached (by aminoacyl-tRNA synthetases). tRNAs cope with the degeneracy of the genetic code in two manners: having more than one tRNA (with a specific anti-codon) for a particular amino acid; and 'wobble' base-pairing, i.e. permitting non-standard base-pairing at the 3rd anti-codon position. Lineage: Bacteria; Bacillati; Bacillota; Clostridia; Peptostreptococcales; Anaerovoracaceae. The record is from RNAcentral.